GUCUUGGUAGUGAAAUGGUAAACACACAAGACUCAAACUCUCAUGCUAAAGAGCGUGGAGGUUCGAGUCCUCUUCAAGGCA
Non-coding RNA from Sphenostylis stenocarpa, 81 nucleotides. The record is from the annotation of a GenBank genome assembly. NCBI's taxonomy places the organism in Eukaryota, Viridiplantae, Streptophyta, Magnoliopsida, Fabales, Fabaceae.